This 496-nucleotide ribosomal RNA is filed under the name uncultured bacterium. Its description in RNAcentral is "partial 16S ribosomal RNA". It matches the Rfam family "Bacterial small subunit ribosomal RNA", at positions 28 to 507 of the family's 1533-position model. The record is from RNAcentral.
GAUGAACGCUGGCGGCGUGCCUAAUACAUGCAAGUCGAGCGAACGGACGAGAAGCUUGCUUCUCUGAUGUUAGCGGCGGACGGGUGAGUAACACGUGGAUAACCUACCUAUAAGACUGGGAUAACUUCGGGAAACCGGAGCUAAUACCGGAUAAUAUUUUGAACCGCAUGGUUCAAAAGUGAAAGACGGUCUGCUGUCACUUAUAGAUGGAUCCGCGCUGCAUUAGCUAGUUGGUAAGGUAACGGCUUACCAAGGCAACGAUGCAUAGCCGACCUGAGAGGGUGAUCGGCCACACUGGAACUGAGACACGGUCCAGACUCCUACGGGAGGCAGCAGUAGGGAAUCUUCCGCAAUGGGCGAAAGCCUGACGGAGCAACGCCGCGUGAGUGAUGAAGGUCUUCGGAUCGCAAAACUCUGUUAUUAGGGAAGAACAUAUGUGUAAGUAACUGUGCACAUCUUGACGGUACCUAAUCAGAAAGCCACGGCUAACUACGUG